Molecule: ribosomal RNA, 117 nt
Filed under: Acidimicrobiia bacterium
Lineage: Bacteria; Bacillati; Actinomycetota; Acidimicrobiia
Source: RNAcentral
UGCGGUGGCGAUAGCGCCGGGGAACCACCCGUUCCCAUUCCGAACACGGAAGUUAAGCCCGGUAGCGCCGAUGGUACUUGGGGGGCAACCCCCUGGGAGAGUAGGACACUGCCGCAU